Molecule: ribosomal RNA, 230 nt
Filed under: uncultured bacterium
Lineage: Bacteria
Description: partial 16S ribosomal RNA
Rfam family: Bacterial small subunit ribosomal RNA
Source: RNAcentral
CGGAUGCCGAUCUCGAAAACCUGUCCCAGUUCGGACUGGAGUCUGCAACCCGACUCCACGAAGUUGGAUUCGCUAGUAAUCGCGCAUCAGCCAUGGCGCGGUGAAUACGUUCCCGGGCCUUGUACACACCGCCCGUCAAGCCAUGGGAGCCGGGGGCGCCUGAAGUCCGGGACCGCGAGGACCGGCCUAAGGCGAAACUGGUGACUGGGGCUAAGUCGUAACAAGGUACC